Molecule: ribosomal RNA, 323 nt
Filed under: uncultured Desulfovibrio sp.
Lineage: Bacteria; Pseudomonadati; Thermodesulfobacteriota; Desulfovibrionia; Desulfovibrionales; Desulfovibrionaceae
Description: bacterial SSU rRNA
Rfam family: Bacterial small subunit ribosomal RNA
Source: RNAcentral
AGCUCGUGCCGUGAGGUGUGGUUAAGUCCCGCAACGAGCGCAACCCUAUUGCCAGUUGCUACCAGGUAAUGCUGGGCACUCCUGGUGAGACUGCCCGGUUAACGGGGAGGAAGGUGGGGACGACGUCAAGUCAUCAUGGUCCUUACGCCUAGGGCUACACACGUACUACAAUGGCGCAUACAAAGGGCAGCGAUACCGCGAGGUGGAGCCAAUCCCAAAAAGUGCGUCCCAGUCCGGAUUGCAGUCUGCAACUCGACUGCAUGAAGUUGGAAUCGCUAGUAAUUCGAGAUCAGCAUGCUCGGGUGAAUGCGUUCCCGGGCCUU